CCUCAAUUCUAUAAUAUUUGACAAGAUUUAUAAUCAGGUGAAUUCAAGUAGUAAUUGUUUUCAUUGUCAUAUUUAUAAAGAGGCGGAGCUACUACUAUCUUGUCUCGUUUUAUUACGUAGGCAUCUUGUCGAGCUUUUCAAGUCCAAGGUCAAGAUGAGAUACGAUGGAGGCGAACAGGAGGGCCAACAAGAAUCAAGCAUUCAUACAGCUGAGAGGGAAGGACUUCAAGUGUACUUUCCAACAAAUCAAACGGCACAUGAUUCGUAGCUUGCUAGAGAAAGAUAUCACGAAUUAAAGUUGAAUCCGAUUCGGGUCUGAGCUGACAGGAGACCCGAAUUAUUUUAAUCACCCAGGCCGCAUCCGGAGUCCAAAUCAAGCAAACAAGUACUUGUUGGAAAGGUAAUUACAAUACCUUUCCAACGGAUCUGGCCCCAUCAAGAGAUUCGACUCGUGCUGACCGUGACGGACAAAACAAGCUGACGGAUCUGUUUUUCUGUUUCCUAAAGAGUUGUAGUUUGUUAGGAAAGUUAGAGAUAGAGUUGGAUUUCGGCCUCUUACUCAAGGUGGACAAAAAUAUCUCUCCCUCCUCCUUUAUAUACCCCAUGAGCCCCCCCUAAGGAGCCUUGGGUUUUGAUUAGAUAAAGUUUAGCCAUCUUUGCUACUUUCGUGUAAUCGCGUGUGUCGGUUAGACCACCUGUUUUACGGUCGUCAAGACUCCAACUUAUCGUCUCGUUGAGACAUUGGUUUGAUACAGUAUAUUCGCAAUUUCAGAUUGCAUCCGCUAUUUAUCUUGUUCUUCGAUUGCUUGCAGGAACAAAGAGCUUCGUGGUCAGGUUGAUCGUGCCCCCGCGUGAUCAAUAACCCUCUGGAGUUGGUGUAUCGAUUGCUAAGGCGCUGCCUUCUAGGCCGUAGUCGGAUCGUCAAUGUCACCUCCUACCCAAAUCGAGAGUUAUCCAUCUCAUCGAAAGAUCGGGCCACCCCCACCCACAUCACGUGGUAUCAGAGCUUAAGGUUGCUCGGUGAGAUUUUUUCCAGUUUAUCCGUAGUUUAGAUCUGUUUUUACCUAUCGUCCAGAAAAAGCCAAAUAAAAAUUAGAAUUAGUUACCUUGUCCUAGAACCAAUCUGAGCCUUGCAAUUUUUACUUUAGUAUUUGCAUUGUUGAAUCUUUGCUGCAUUAAUCGUGUCGAGUUGCUGGAUUAGAUUGGAUCAUUUUUCAGAUUUUUUCUACUAGAUCGAACUUGCUUUUGGUUUUCUUGUUCUUCGUGUGACGCAGGUUUCGUUCAUCAAUCUUCCGCCGCCAAACUUCCUGCCACACCACCGCCAUAAUCUCCCGCCGCCACCAUAUCUUCCACCGAGUCCCUCUUCGAGUCCUACACCGAGUCCCUCUUUGAGUCCUACACCGAGUCCCUCAUCGAGUCCUACAACGAGUCCCUCUUCGAGUUCUACAUCGAGUCAGCAAGUAAUAGUUUUCAGCCGCGAGUUCGAGUCCGAGUCCAAUAAGGAGUGCUUUUGAAAAGUGUUUCAUCAUAGAUCGAAUUUUGUUUAGAGAUCAAGUUGUUUGGAAAGUAGAAAAAAAAAGAAAGGAAAGAAAAAAAAAGGAAAGAAAGAAAGAAAAAAAAAGGAAAAAAAGAAAGAGCAAGAGUUCGAGUCAGUUUCGGACCCGAGUCAGAAUUUUAGUUUCGGGUGGGUUUGACCCGUGUUCAGUAAAACGGGCGUAUCUUUUGCGUACCAACUCGGAAUUGGACGUUCUUGGACUUUUUGGAAAGCUCACGAUGAGGCGCAUCAGGAAAUAUCCAGGGCGGUGCCCUGCACUUUGACCCUCAAAUUCGGUUUGUAAGGUGGACUUUUGGAACUUCCAAGUUUCUGCAUCCGUUUUCCGGCGUCGCAGCAGCCCGGUGUUUCUCAGUUUUCUCCACCGUCCAACAUCCGUUUUGAGUGAUCUUGCCCUUGCUGGAAAGCUUGUGUCGAUACCCUUCUAACAUAUAUUUUUUCAUAUUUUUCUAAAUUUUUCUUACUGCAGCUUUUGUUGUUCUUCGACAGACCGACGUACAGUUUUACGGUCCUUCUUUUGCGUGAGUUUCUAGGGUUAAAAAAGAAAAAAGAAGAAAAGAAUAAGAAGCCAAACAGAAGGCCACAAAAAGAAAAAAAAAGAAAAAAAAUCCUAGGGAUUUACUUGUUGUGCCAUCUUUCUAUCCUACCUUCUUCAGUAUCUAGGCUUAGAUUAUUUCUGUAAUUCGUUCUUAUCGACUCCAGCAGCUAGGACUAGCAUUAUUGAGCAUAUUUUCAACUUUGCAUUGCUGAUUUGAUUAUUUGCUAUUUCUUGCUACUCACAAAAGCCUCCAAGCUCCACAGAUUCUACACCUAGGUUGGUUUGUUACCGAGGCAUCGAUACAUUUAAUAUUCGGAGGGCUUAGUCACGCCGCUGGCCAUCACCUUCCUGUUUUGCAUGGUAAGAACUUGUAAGAACUUGAUUUUUAGCUUGAGAGUUGAGCGACUUGAGCCACAUCCUAGUAGUUGAUAGGAACAUAUUACUGUGAUUUGUUUCUUGUUUUCUACUAACCAUGACAGGAUUUACACGAAGCAUGGCAACUAGACCGAUGCUAUCCUGUGACCGCGAUGAGUGCUUUUCACCGCGGCCAUCCUCCACGUCUCUUGUUGAUAAUGCCACGGCAACGGUACAAAACAAUCCUUCUAAUACAAUUAAAUUGUGUGUACCUUUCUUUGAGGGGGAAAAUGAUGCUGAAACGUAUAUAGAUUGGGAGCUAGUUUUAACUAAACAAUUCACAUGCUUCCAUGUACUAGAUAGUCGUAAGGUCCAAAUUGCUAGUAGUAAAUUUCGUUUUGAUGCAUUAUCAUGGUGGUGUGAGCUAGUUAGAGAAAACAAAAUACCUCACACUUGGAUUGAUAUGAAGAAAAUCAUGAGAGAAAAAUAUGUUCCUCCAAGUUAUGCUUAUGAGUUGUGUUCCAAAUUACGACGUUUGACAUAAGAUGAUAAAACUGUUGAUGAUUAGUACCAUGAUGAGUUCCAAAUUUUAACCUUGCGAUCUGGUUUAGAUGAAACCGAACAAAGAAAAAUGGAUAGGUUUUAUUGUGGGCUUAACUUUGAUAUUUCUUACAUAAUUGAAUACGGAAAAUAUGACUCUCUAUUGUGUUUGCUUAAUCUUGCUCGUGAAGCGGAGAGGAAAUUGGAGAGAAGGUGUACAAGAAACGUGUUGAGCCUACAAGGUAAUGAUAAAGAUGAUUGUGUUGCUGAACAAAAUAUGACAUGUGAUGAAAUAAAUGAGAUACCCGUUGAAUUUUCUGCACCAUGUGAAAUUGUUGAUUUACAUGCUGAUUUGAGUGCACCUACUGCUGAAAUUAAUUCUUCUAAUGAUUUGAGUGCACAUAUUAAUGUUGAUAUUGAUGAUAAUGAAUCAUGUGAGGAAAUAAUUAAUGUUUUGGGAGAAACAUGUGAUGUAGAUAAAUUUGGUUUAGGUUGUGUCGACUUAAUUACACAUGGAGUGAUUGAGAACGAUCCACCUAUUAAUUCUUUGUGUUAUAUUGCACUUGAUAGUCCCAUGUAUUUGUCGCAUGCAAUGGAUAAACUGUGUGAGUUAACAAUUUCGAAAUCUUUUGCUGUUCAUGGAUACACAAUUCAUUUAAUUGGACAACAUGAUGUGAACAAUAACAUUUUGGUGCAUGAGAUUUGCAUUACUUGUGAUAAUUUUCCUCUCUUGGGAGAAAAGAAAUUUUUGCACAUGCUUAAUCAUUUUGAUAGGACCUCCAAUAUAGGUGUUGAUUAUUUGCCAAAUAGUUAUUUACAUGCUUGUUUGAAUAUUAGUGCUUUGACUUGCUCUAAAUUUCAGCAUAUUGUAGUAACUAAUUUGGAUACUAUUCAUUAUUAUUCUCCAAUAUUGUGAUGGUGUAAUGGUGAGCGGUGCAAACCAAAUACAAGAAAUCGUUUCGCUUAUAAAUGCAAACAAUAUUGUCAAUCUUCUUGCCGGAAUGUUAUUCAUCAUGAUUGUUUUACUAAUUAUCUCACGAGACUUUGUUAUAAAAGAUUAAUUGUGCAAGAAAGGAGAUGCAUAAAGAUGGAUGACAUAUACAUAUACCAUGCACACACUUUGUCUAUUUUGUCAGUCUCUUUACAGCACAAACGACGCCGAGGCGACUUUCCUUUCAAGAAAGGGAGGAUGAUAUGGACAUGCUAACCAUGGAUACGACCUUUGGUACCCUCAAUUCUAUAAUAUUUGACAAGAUUUAUAAUUAGAUGAAUUCAAGUAGUAAUUGUUUUCAUUGUCAUAUUUAUGAAGAGGCGGAGCUACUACUAUCUUGUCUCGUUUUAUUACGUAGGCAUCUUGUCGAGCUUUUCAAGUCCAAGGUCAAGAUGAGAUACGAUGGAGGCGAACAGGAGGGCCAACAAGAAUCAAGCAUUCAUACAGCUGAGAGGGAAGGACUUCAAGUGUACUUUCCAACAAAUCAAACGGCACAUGAUUCGUAGCUUGCUAGAGAAAGAUAUCACGAAUUAAAGUUGAAUCCGAUUCGGGUCCGAGCUGCCAGGAGACCCGA
This 4549-nucleotide long non-coding RNA is filed under the name Brachypodium distachyon (stiff brome). RNAcentral describes it as "long non-coding RNA (BDIS_LNC005557)". The record is from RNAcentral. Lineage: Eukaryota; Viridiplantae; Streptophyta; Magnoliopsida; Poales; Poaceae.